This 1340-nucleotide ribosomal RNA is filed under the name uncultured bacterium. RNAcentral's name for it is "bacterial SSU rRNA". It matches the Rfam family "Bacterial small subunit ribosomal RNA", at positions 28 to 1381 of the family's 1533-position model. The record is from RNAcentral.
GACGAACGCUGGCGGCGUGCUUAACACAUGCAAGUCGAGCGAGGCCCGUCCUUCGGGACGGUGUCCUAGCGGCGAACGGGUGAGUAACACGUGGGCAACCUGCCCCUAGCACUGGGAUAACCCCGGGAAACCGGGGCUAAUACCGGAUACGACUGCGGAAGGCAUCUUCUGCGGUGGAAAGGGUUACUGGCUAGGGAUGGGCCCGCGGCCUAUCAGCUUGUUGGUGGGGUAACGGCCCACCAAGGCGACGACGGGUAGCCGGCCUGAGAGGGCGACCGGCCACACUGGGACUGAGACACGGCCCAGACUCCUACGGGAGGCAGCAGUGGGGAAUAUUGCACAAUGGGCGAAAGCCUGAUGCAGCGACGCCGCGUGAGGGAUGACGGCCUUCGGGUUGUAAACCUCUUUCAGCUCCGACGAAGCGAAAGUGACGGUAGGAGCAGAAGAAGCACCGGCCAACUACGUGCCAGCAGCCGCGGUAAUACGUAGGGUGCAAGCGUUGUCCGGAAUUAUUGGGCGUAAAGAGCUCGUAGGCGGCUUGUCGCGUCGACUGUGAAAACCUGGGGCUUAACCCCGGGCCUGCAGUCGAUACGGGCAAGCUAGAAUUCGGUAGGGGAGACUGGAAUUCCUGGUGUAGCGGUGAAAUGCGCAGAUAUCAGGAGGAACACCGGUGGCGAAGGCGGGUCUCUGGGCCGAUAUUGACGCUGAGGAGCGAAAGCGUGGGGAGCGAACAGGAUUAGAUACCCUGGUAGUCCACGCCGUAAACGGUGGGCGCUAGGUGUGGGCCACAUUCCACGUGGUCUGUGCCGCAGCUAACGCAUUAAGCGCCCCGCCUGGGGAGUACGGCCGCAAGGCUAAAACUCAAAGGAAUUGACGGGGGCCCGCACAAGCGGCGGAGCAUGUGGCUUAAUUCGAUGCAACGCGAAGAACCUUACCUGGGCUUGACAUGCAGGGAAAUCCAUUAGAGAUAGUGGGUCCGUAAGGGCCUUGCACAGGUGGUGCACGGCUGUCGUCAGCUCGUGUCGUGAGAUGUUGGGUUAAGUCCCGCAACGAGCGCAACCCUCGUUCUAUGUUGCCAGCGAGUAAUGUCGGGGACUCAUAGGAGACUGCCGGGGUCAACUCGGAGGAAGGUGGGGAUGACGUCAAGUCAUCAUGCCCCUUAUGUCCAGGGCUGCACACAUGCUACAAUGGCCGGUACAAAGAGCUGCGAUACCGCAAGGUGGAGCGAAUCUCAUAAAGCCGGUCUCAGUUCGGAUUGGGGUCUGCAACUCGACCCCAUGAAGUCGGAGUCGCUAGUAAUCGCAGAUCAGCAACGCUGCGGUGAAUACGUUCCCGGGCCU